RNAcentral lists this transfer RNA (61 nucleotides) under Didymobothrium rudolphii. RNAcentral describes it as "tRNA-Tyr". Lineage: Eukaryota; Metazoa; Platyhelminthes; Cestoda; Spathebothriidea; Acrobothriidae. The record is from RNAcentral.
UCUGGCUUAAUAUAAAAAAUAUAAUGGAUUGUAAAUCCAUACAUAGCGUAGCUAGUCAGGA